Molecule: ribosomal RNA, 728 nt
Filed under: uncultured eukaryote
Lineage: Eukaryota
Description: bacterial SSU rRNA
Rfam family: Eukaryotic small subunit ribosomal RNA
Source: RNAcentral
GGUGCGCACUACGUGCGAUGGCUUGAUCUGUCGGUCUUCUCGUCGUGGCCUUAAGCGGCGCGGCGGGUGGCUGGCGAUUUUACUUUGAACAAAUCAGAGUGCUCGAUACAGGCGGCUUUGCCUGAAUGUUUUUGCAUGGAAUAAUAGAAGAGGAUUUCGGUCCAAUUUUAUUGGUUUUAUUGACUGAAAUAAUGGUUAAUAGAGACAAACGGGGGCAUUCGUAUCGUUGCGCGAGAGGUGAAAUUCUGGGACCGUAGCGAGACGACCAACAGCGAAAGCAAUUGCCAAGAAUGUCUUCUUUAAUCAAGAACGAAAGUCAGAGGUUCGAAGGCGAUCAGAUACCGCCCUAGUUCUGACCGUAAACGAUGCCAACUAGCGAUCUGCCGGUGGUAAUUCCGCCCUGGCAGGGAGCUUCCCGGAAACGAAAGUUUUUCGGUUCCGGGGGAAGUAUGGUUGCAAAGCUGAAACUUAAAGGAAUUGACGGAAGGGCACCACCAGGAGUGGAGCCUGCGGCUUAAUUUGACUCAACACGGGAAAACUCACCCGGCCCGGACACUAUAAGGAUUGACAGAUUGAUAGCUCUUUCAUGAUUUGGUGGAUGGUGGUGCAUGGCCGUUCUUAGUUCGUGGAUCGAUUUGUCUGGUUUAUUCCGAUAACGAGCGAGACUCUAGUCUAUUAAAUAGUGGCGGCAUUUUUAUGUGUCGUCUACUUCUUAAAGAGAUUUUCGG